This 484-nucleotide ribosomal RNA is filed under the name uncultured bacterium. RNAcentral describes it as "partial 16S ribosomal RNA". It matches the Rfam family "Bacterial small subunit ribosomal RNA", at positions 30 to 507 of the family's 1533-position model. The record is from RNAcentral.
AUUGAACGCUGGCGGCAGGCCUAACACAUGCAAGUCGAGCGGAUGAAGGGAGCUUGCUCCUGGAUUCAGCGGCGGACGGGUGAGUAAUGCCUAGGAAUCUGCCUGGUAGUGGGGGAUAACGUCCGGAAACGGGCGCUAAUACCGCAUACGUCCUGAGGGAGAAAGUGGGGGAUCUUCGUACCUCACGCUAUCAGAUGAUCCUAGGUCGGAUUAGCUAGUUGGUGGGGUAAAGGCCUACCAAGGCGACGAUCCGUAACUGGUCUGAGAGGAUGAUCAGUCACACUGGAACUGAGACACGGUGCAGACUCCUAAGGGAGGCAGCAGUGGGGAAUAUUGGACAAUGGGCGAAAGCCUGAUCCAGCCAUGCCGCGUGUGUGAAGAAGGUCUUCGGAUUGUAAAGCACUUUAAGUUGGGAGGUAGUGCAGUAAGUUAAUACCUUGCUGUUUUGACGUUACCAACAGAAUAAGCACCGGCUAACUUCGUG